AGAGUUUGAUCCUGGCUCAGGACGAACGCUGGCGGCGCGCCUAACACAUGCAAGUCGAACGAGCCGAGGGGAGCUUGCUCCCCAGAGCUAGUGGCGGACGGGUGAGUAACACGUGAGCAACCUGCCUUUCAGAGGGGGAUAACGUUUGGAAACGAACGCUAAUACCGCAUAACAUACCGGGACCGCAUGAUUCUGGUAUCAAAGGAGCAAUCCGCUGAAAGAUGGGCUCGCGUCCGAUUAGCUAGUUGGCGGGGUAACGGCCCACCAAGGCGACGAUCGGUAGCCGGACUGAGAGGUUGAUCGGCCACAUUGGGACUGAGACACGGCCCAGACUCCUACGGGAGGCAGCAGUGGGGGAUAUUGCACAAUGGAGGAAACUCUGAUGCAGCGACGCCGCGUGAGGGAAGACGGUCUUCGGAUUGUAAACCUCUGUCUUUGGGGACGAUAAUGACGGUACCCAAGGAGGAAGCUCCGGCUAACUACGUGCCAGCAGCCGCGGUAAUACGUAGGGAGCGAGCGUUGUCCGGAAUUACUGGGUGUAAAGGGAGCGUAGGCGGGGUCUCAAGUCGAAUGUUAAAUCUACCGGCUCAACUGGUAGCUGCGUUCGAAACUGGGGCUCUUGAGUGAAGUAGAGGCAGGCGGAAUUCCUAGUGUAGCGGUGAAAUGCGUAGAUAUUAGGAGGAACACCAGUGGCGAAGGCGGCCUGCUGGGCUUUUACUGACGCUGAGGCUCGAAAGCGUGGGGAGCAAACAGGAUUAGAUACCCUGGUAGUCCACGCCGUAAACGAUGAUUACUAGGUGUGGGGGACUGACCCCUUCCGUGCCGGAGUUAACACAAUAAGUAAUCCACCUGGGGAGUACGACCGCAAGGUUGAAACUCAAAGGAAUUGACGGGGGCCCGCACAAGCAGUGGAUUAUGUGGUUUAAUUCGAAGCAACGCGAAGAACCUUACCAGGUCUUGACAUCGAGUGACGGCUCUAGAGAUAGAGCUUUCCUUCGGGACACAAAGACAGGUGGUGCAUGGUUGUCGUCAGCUCGUGUCGUGAGAUGUUGGGUUAAGUCCCGCAACGAGCGCAACCCUUAUUAUUAGUUGCUACAUUCAGUUGAGCACUCUAAUGAGACUGCCGUUGACAAAACGGAGGAAGGUGGGGAUGACGUCAAAUCAUCAUGCCCCUUAUGACCUGGGCUACACACGUAAUACAAUGGCGAUCAACAGAGGGAAGCAAGACCGCGAGGUGGAGCAAACCCCUAAAAGUCGUCUCAGUUCGGAUUGCAGGCUGCAACUCGCCUGCAUGAAGUCGGAAUUGCUAGUAAUCGCGGAUCAGCAUGCCGCGGUGAAUACGUUCCCGGGCCUUGUACACACCGCCCGUCACACCAUGGGAGUCGGUAACACCCGAAGUCAGUAGCCUAACCGCAAAGAGGGCGCUGCCGAAGGUGGGAUUGAUGACUGGGGUGAAGUCGUAACAAGGUAGCCGUAUCGGAAGGUGCGGCUG
Molecule: ribosomal RNA, 1492 nt
Filed under: Clostridia bacterium UC5.1-2F7
Lineage: Bacteria; Bacillati; Bacillota; Clostridia
Also listed under: 2 other names
Description: bacterial SSU rRNA
Rfam family: Bacterial small subunit ribosomal RNA
Source: RNAcentral